CGAAAAGUCUGACGGAGCAACGCCGCGUGAGUGAAGAAGGUUUUCGGAUCGUAAAGCUCUGUCUUUGAGGACGAAUGUGUCUAAUGUGAAUAAUGUUAGACAAUGACGGUACUCGAGGAGGAAGCCACGGCUAACUACGUGCCAGCAGCCGCGGUAAUACGUAGGUGGCAAGCGUUGUCCGGAAUUAUUGGGCGUAAAGCGCGCGCAGGCGGGAUAUUAAGUCUGUUUUAAAAGUUCGGGGCUCAACCCCGUGAUGGAAUGGAAACUAAUAUUCUUGAGUGCAGGAGAGGAAAGUGGAAUUCCCAGUGUAGCGGUGAAAUGCGUAGAUAUUGGGAGGAACACCAGUGGCGAAGGCGACUUUCUGGACUGUGUCUGACGCUGAGGCGCGAAAGCCAGGGGAGUGAACGGGAUUAGAUACCCCGGUAAUCCUGGCCGUAAACGAUGGGUACUAGGUGUAGGAGGUAUCGACCCCUUCUGUGCCGGAGUUAACGCAAUAAGUACCCCGCCUGGGGAGUA
Molecule: ribosomal RNA, 516 nt
Filed under: uncultured bacterium
Lineage: Bacteria
Description: bacterial SSU rRNA
Rfam family: Bacterial small subunit ribosomal RNA
Source: RNAcentral